Molecule: ribosomal RNA, 218 nt
Filed under: uncultured bacterium
Lineage: Bacteria
Description: partial 16S ribosomal RNA
Rfam family: Bacterial small subunit ribosomal RNA
Source: RNAcentral
GCAAGUCGAGCGCACCUUCGGGUGAGCGGCGGACGGGUUAGUAACGCGUGGGAAUAUGCCCUUCUCUACGGAAUAGCCAUUGGAAACGAUGAGUAAUACCGUAUACGCCCUUCGGGGGAAAGAUUUAUCGGAGAAGGAUUGGCCCGCGUUAGAUUAGAUAGUUGGUGGGGUAACGGCCUACCAAGUCACCGAUCUAUAGCUGGUUUGAGAGGAUGAUC